UACGAAGGGGGCUAGCGUUGCUCGGAAUCACUGGGCGUAAAGGGUGCGUAGGCGGGUCUUUAAGUCAGGGGGGAAAUCCUGGAGCUCAACUCCAGAACUGCCUUUGAUACUGAAGAUCUUGAGUCCGGGAGAGGUGAGUGGAACUGCGAGUGUAGAGGUGAAAUUCGUAGAUAUUCGCAAGAACACCAGUGGCGAAGGCGGCUCACUGGCCCGGUACUGACGCUGAGGAGCGAAAGCGUGGGGAGCGAACAGG
RNAcentral lists this ribosomal RNA (253 nucleotides) under uncultured bacterium. Its description in RNAcentral is "partial 16S ribosomal RNA". It matches the Rfam family "Bacterial small subunit ribosomal RNA", at positions 524 to 776 of the family's 1533-position model. The record is from RNAcentral.